UUGAACGCUGGCGGCAUGCCUUACACAUGCAAGUCGAACGGUAGAGGGGCAACCCUUGAGAGUGGCGAACGGGUGAGUAAUGCAUCGGAACGUGCCCAGUCGUGGGGGAUAACGCAGCGAAAGCUGUGCUAAUACCGCAUGUGAUCUGUGGAUGAAAGCAGGGGACCGCAAGGCCUUGUGCGAUUGGAGCGGCCGAUGUCAGAUUAGCUAGUUGGUAGGGUAAGGCCUACCAAGGCGACGAUCUGUAGCUG
RNAcentral lists this ribosomal RNA (251 nucleotides) under uncultured bacterium. Its description in RNAcentral is "partial 16S ribosomal RNA". It matches the Rfam family "Bacterial small subunit ribosomal RNA", at positions 30 to 289 of the family's 1533-position model. The record is from RNAcentral.